This 316-nucleotide long non-coding RNA is filed under the name Setaria italica (foxtail millet). RNAcentral describes it as "long non-coding RNA (SITA_LNC005533)". The record is from RNAcentral. Lineage: Eukaryota; Viridiplantae; Streptophyta; Magnoliopsida; Poales; Poaceae.
CGUCGUGGCCGUGGUGCUGCUCGCCGCGGCGGCCUCCGAGGCCGCCAUCAGCUGCGGCCAGGUCAACUCCGCCAUCGGCCAGUGCCUCCCUUACGCCCGCGGCCAGGGCUCCAAACCCUCCGACGCCUGCUGCAGCGGCGUCAAGAGACUCAACUCCGCCGCCACGACCACCGCCGACAGGCGCGCCGCAUGCAACUGCCUCAAGAACGCCGCCAGGGGGAUCAGCGGCCUCAACGCCGGCAACGCCGCCAGCAUCCCAUCCAAGUGCGGCGUCAGCAUCCCCUACUCCAUCAGCACCUCCACCGACUGCUCCAGG